This 291-nucleotide ribosomal RNA is filed under the name uncultured soil bacterium. Its description in RNAcentral is "partial 16S ribosomal RNA". It matches the Rfam family "Bacterial small subunit ribosomal RNA", at positions 26 to 315 of the family's 1533-position model. The record is from RNAcentral.
AGAUUGAACGCUGGCGGCGUGCUUAACACAUGCAAGUCGAGCGGUAACAGGCGUAGCAAUACGUGCUGACGAGCGGCGAACGGGUGCGUAAUACAUGGGAAUCUGCCCUUUGGUGGGGAAUAACCCGGCGAAAGCCGGGCUAAUGCCGCAUAAGAUCUUCGGAUGAAAGCGGGGGAUCGUAAGACCUCGCGCCGAUGGAUGACGCCCAUGUCGGAUUAGCUAGGUUGGUGAGGUAACGGCUCACCAAGGCGACGAUCCGUAGCUGGUCUGAGAGGACGGCCAGCCACACGU